UCAUGAUCUCACGGUUCGUGGGUUCACGCCCCACGCCAGAUUCUGUGCUGACCGCUCGGAGCCUGGAGCCUGCUUCGGAUUCUGCGUCUCCCUCUCUCUCUGCCCCUCUCCUGCUCACUCUCUCUCUCUCCCCAAAAUAAAUAAACAUUAAAACUUUUACAAAGCAGCGAGCCUUUUUAAACAGCAACGUUUUUCCCUCUCUUCACACACUUGGGGUGGCGCGCCAGGGCAGAGCUCUCAUCUGGUGUGGCAGCAAGGGGCUGCCACAGUGUGUGACUUCGUUUGCUGAGGAGAGAUGGACACCUGGAACCAUGCCAUGCAGCGACCUAAGGGGAAGACAGCACAGAGCCCUGUGGCAGAAGGCGGCGAUAAGAAGACGGGCGACACGGUUCCUUUAUUCCCGCCCACGCCUGCUCCUAAUUCCUGGUAGUCUGGGAAAACUGGAAGAAAAGAAAAUGCCAGAAAGUUACGGUAAAACUUAAGAUGCGGCCGAAGUCGCUUUCUUUGCCCCUGCUGUGAGUGUUUGAAUAAGAAGAAUGCUCCCGGACUGUAACAAGCAAAAAGAAUGAAGAAGACAAAAGAUUUCCAGAAAAAGGUUUAGCUAGAAGACAAGGCAAGUGAAACUGAAAGGAGAAAAAAAGCAUUUACAAUGGAACAAUAAGUGUACUAAUCGCUUUGAUAUAUUAUACAAGCCCAAAGACCCAAAACAUUGUGUAAUUAUUUAUAAAUGACUUCUCCACUCCUGUGUAUAAUGCAGAGGAAAGAAUAAAACUGCAGGCUACUCUCUAAACUAUUUCUAA
This 800-nucleotide long non-coding RNA is filed under the name Felis catus (domestic cat). Its description in RNAcentral is "lncRNA (ENSFCAG00000051476.1)". The record is from RNAcentral. Lineage: Eukaryota; Metazoa; Chordata; Mammalia; Carnivora; Felidae.